UAGUGUCUAUCAGGGUGUUAAUGGCGUC
Molecule: small RNA, 28 nt
Filed under: Bombyx mori (domestic silkworm)
Lineage: Eukaryota; Metazoa; Arthropoda; Insecta; Lepidoptera; Bombycidae
Description: ovarian small RNA-23089
Source: RNAcentral